Molecule: long non-coding RNA, 3861 nt
Filed under: Marmota monax (woodchuck)
Lineage: Eukaryota; Metazoa; Chordata; Mammalia; Rodentia; Sciuridae
Source: RNAcentral
GCUGAGUAAUAUUCCAUUGUGUAUAGGUACCACAUUUUCUUUAUCCAUUCAUCUGUUGAAGGGCAUCUAGGUUGGUUCCAUAGCUUUUGUGUGUUGGUCUGCUAUAGAUAUUGCUGUGGUACAUCACGGUAAUACACUGAUUUUAAGUCCUUUGAGUAUAAACUGAGGAAGGAUAGCUGGGUCAGAUGGUGAUUCCAGUCCAAGUUUUGUGAGGUAUUUCCAUACUGCUUUCCAUUAUUGGCUCCACCAAUUUGGAGUCCCACCAGCAAUGCAUGAGUGUACCUUUUCCCCCACAUCCUCGCCAACACUUAUUGUUGCUCUUAUUCUUAAUAAUUACCAUUCUGUACCAUUUUGACUUGAAUGAAAUGAAAUCUUAGAGUAGUUUUGAUUUGCAUUUCUCUAAUUGCUAGAGAUGAUGAACAUUUAUUCUUAUGUUUGUUGAUCAAUUGUAUUUAAAAGAAGAGACCACUUUAAAUAAAAGAUGUCUUGAGGUUGUGGUAGAGACAUUGUCUAGAACCUGUGAGGCCAUGGGUUCCAUACCCAGCACUUGUGGGGGUGUGGGGAGGAGGAGUAAUUCUUCCAUCUCUUUUCCAGCAACUCAUAAUAAUUUAGGACAACACUGGCAAGAUGCUGUCCAAAUUGCAAGAGUAUCAAAAUUAUUGAAGUCUGUCCUGUGGAAAAGAGGUAUAGGUUGGGUUUUGCAAAGAAGAAAUAAGACUUCUUUUGCUAUUAAUCCAAUUCCUGGUCACAUAUUUUAUAUCUUUGGUACUAAAACAUUCAAGUCCUAGGCUAGUUUAUGCUAGGUCUCCUCAAAUAUCUACUUGAAUAUGCAUGGGUGCGCGCACACACAUCUAUACACUUAUACAUAUAUGUGUGUGUGCAUGUAUGUGUGUGUGUGUGUGUGUGUCUGUAGUCCUGGAUAUGAAAACCAGAGACACUCUACAACUGAAUUACACCCCCAGAACUUUUUUAUUUUUUUUAUUUUGAGAAAAGUCUCACUAAAUUGCCCAGGCUGGCCUCAAACAUGCAAUUCUCUCCUGCCUUAGCCUCUCAAAUAACUGGAAUUGCAGGUGUGCUUCCAUUUGACUAUCUUACAUACACAUCCCCAAAUUUAAGUGUUGCUUGGUAUGGUCAUACAUAACUGUAUGAAACUGAAGCAGGAGGAUGACAACUUUGAGGCCAUUUCAGCAACUUAACAAGACCCUGUCUUAAUAUUCAGUUAUGAUAAGGGCUAGGGAUGUAGCUCAUUGCCGGAACAUCCCUAGGUUUCAUCCCCAGUAUUGAAAAACAGAAAAUUACAACAUCAAACAAGUGCCUGGUUUUUACCUCAAACUAUCUCUCUUCCUCCUGCCCCAUCAUUGCUAAAGCCUAAACCAUGAGAAACAAUCUUCACAGUUGCUUUUUACUCAUCCUCUCCUCUCUACCAAUGUAUCAUCGAGUUUAGUAGCAAACAAGAUCCUUCUCCAUAUAAAAUUUUUAAUUAAGUGAGAUUUAAAAAUACAAACAGGAUUCAGAGAGAAUAAAAUUAUCUCUGGGUAUGGCCCCACAUACCCACCCAUAGUCCAAGCUCCUUGGCAAACUAAACCAGGAUGAGCACUUGAGCCUAGUAGCUAGAGGCCAGCCUAGGCAGCACAGCCAACCUGCCCUAAAAAAAAACAAAACAAACAAACAAAAAAGGAAAACCAUCAGUUAUACUAAUGGCAAAUCUGUACUGCAAAAUUGGGCUUACAGUAAGGAAAAAAUGUUGCUACUUACUCUGGGCUGAUCAUGCCCUAAGAGGAUAAUUGGUCAGCUUGUCCAGGAUCAGGGCCUGCCUCAGCCUAGUACAGAAGGCAAAGACAGAUGAGCUACACCUGAGAAAUGUCUCAGUGGUCUUAUUCUCCCAGGAAAGAAACUUUAAUGUAAAGGAGGUCGGAUUUUCAUUUCAGGAAUGACAGCAGGGGACGUAGCUCAGUGGCAGAGCACUUGCCCAGCACUCACAAGUUUGAGUGAGUUUGACCACCAGGACCACCAAAAAUAAAACUUAAAUUAAAAAGCAGCAGCAAAUACUUUGACUCUUCACCCCUAGAGAGAAGAAACCUGUGAAAAGUGAUGCAACAAGAGUUUCUUCAUCAAUUCCAAGGAAGAACAAAAAUAGACUAACGUAAAAAAAAAAAAGAGGGGGGUGGGGGAAGAGAUCUCUGGGUGAAUUGGCACACACAAACCUGUAAUCCAGAGACUAGGGAAGCUGAGGUGGGAGGAUCUCAAGCUUGAGUUGUGCCUGGACAAUUUAGUGUGGCCCUGUCACAAAAUAAAAAAUAAAAAAAGAUUGGGGAUAUAGCUCAGGUGCAAAAUGCUCCUGGAUGAUAUGAUAGACAUGCUCUUUUACAUAUGGAAGGAGAUUGUACAUCAUUUUACCUGAUUUUCUGGCUCUUCCUUUGUAUCUCUCCCCAUCAUCACAUUUCAUAUUGGAAAUCUGCACAUAUGUGGUGACAAAAUGAACCAGAGGACAAAGCUCAGAGAUGAGUAUGGACUUUUCUAUGCUCUGCCCAAAGGUCUUUCAGGCUGAAGGCCUCUCCACAGAGCUGGCAGCUGAAGUGCUUCUCACCCUAUGAUUUUCUGGUGGCCUGGGAGACUGAACAACACCUCAAAGUUUGGUUCCAUUGGAAGCACUCAAAGGACCUGGUCCCUAUGUACACUGUUUGACAAGUGGCUAGCUGACUGUGGCAGCUCAGCACCUUCCUGCAAAAUGCCACAGAUAGACCCAUGAUCUUUAGCCUGGUACGGUACUUGUAAUUCUCCCUGGGGACUUGCCGCCAUUUGUAGGAGUUUCCACACACCUUGACAUGGAGAGCCACAGGCUUGUCCAUUUUCCUCCCCAAAGCAGCUCUGUGAAGGUACAUGUUAGCUGUGGUCUGAAGGAAGAUCUUCCUGAAGCCAGCCAUAUUCUGGGAUCUUCCCCACAGGAGGACUUCUUAGGAGACUAGGCCAGCCAAUCACAGCACCUCUUCUCAUCAACAGGCUUUCUUGCAAGAAUAAGGAAGAUGUGAGAUGCUGAACUGGCUACUUGCUGUUUUAUUUCUCAAACUACCGAACAUUUAUCUACAGUAAUUUGGCCAUGAGUAUUCCUCUGGGUAAUGACAAAUGUGCUUUUUCUAGAUUAAAUCUUUGCUAUUUGCCAAGUAACUGGAUGUGUCAGUGUCCGCAUUCUUUUCUUACUUUCUGAUCUGUUUCUUGUGUUGGGAGGGAGUAGCCAUACUGACAGCUGCUUCUGACCACAGUUCCAGGUUUUGCUAUUACAGUUUUUUAAAAUUAUUUCUCAACUCUUCCCUCCUCUUUUUUUUGGGGGGGAGUGUGGUUUAAAGUAGCAUGUUAUUACUUCUUGUCUCCUGACUUUAAUGAUAUCCAAGUCCAAGACAAAGGAAAGAUUCAGAAUACAUCCUACUUCUAAAGGGAAUGCAAAUGCUGGAAUUAAGAGGAUCACCCUCUUUAGUCAUGUGCAGAGGUGCACACCUGCAAGCCUAGCAACUUGGGAGGCUAAAAAAGGAAAAUUUCAAAUUCAAGGUCAUCCCAGGAAAUUUAUAAAAGACCCUGUGUCAAUAAAUAAUAAAAGGGCUGGGAGUGUGUCUCAUUCAUACAGUGUCCCAGGGUUCAAGUCCCCAAUGCCACCCACUUUGUCAUUGUUAGUUCUUUGAGAGGUGAAGAGGAAAAUUUUUGAUAGUUCUAUAAAACAUUUUCUUGUUCCUCUAUGCUGGGUAUUGAACCUCAGCAUGCUACACUAGUGUUCUACAGUGAGCAAAGUUCCCAGCCCACUGUCAAAGUUUUUUGGUUUCUUUGUGUGUUUGUAAUACUGAACAUUGAACCCAAGGCCUCACACAUCAC